Molecule: long non-coding RNA, 1035 nt
Organism: Lycium barbarum (goji berry)
Lineage: Eukaryota; Viridiplantae; Streptophyta; Magnoliopsida; Solanales; Solanaceae
Exons: 3
Source: RefSeq, a predicted model, not a curated record
UUCUCGAUUGAAGGGUUUUUAAACCCUAGCGCCGCCUUAAGGUGACUUCGUCUCUCCUACGUGGUUCACUAUUUUUAGCAAACUUUCAGAGUGCCACAGGCAGAGUCGUGAUGUGUGCUUUUUGAGGAAAAGCAUUUAAUGCUUCGUCCUCUUUCAUCAAAAAUCUAGCCAAACGAGGCUAUAAAUUUGUAUUUUGUUACUUUACUUUUUCAUUACAACGGUCUCAAAGGUCUGUAAAUCUUAAUGGUCUUUGUUUGCAUGUGCUUGAAAUGCCGAAUUCUCAUUGGUUCGUCGAAGACCUCUCGGAUUGAGGUCAAAUUUAUUUCUCUGAGAAUUUUUGAGUAGAUCUUAGCCGUAUAUGUUUCAAUUUGCUAAAAUCUGGGCCAUUGAAACAAUGUGGAGAAGCAAUGCUUGCUUGUCCUACAUCAUUUUAGAAUUAGGGUUUUAUGAUUUAGGAGUUCUAUAAAUCGAAUCCCAAAUUUGCAUUUUUUUUUAAAAAGUUUGAGCAUCUGAAAAUCUCAUUUGCAUAAAAAUUUGAAUACCUAGGUUUCUAGCUAUUUUCGAUAAAAACCUUUAACUUUUGGAUUAAGUUUAAAGUUUUUAAAUAUUAAGUGUUGUUGUUAUUGUUGAUUGGUGGCUGAGUGUUGGAAUUUGGAGGAGAAAAGGUUUUUCUAAGGUUCAAUCUCUUCUAGGAUGCACCAUAAAAAGGUAGAAACGUGGGCAUUGGAGGAGAACAAGCAAGCGAUAGAUUAGUUAAACGACAAAGGUAGACAGGGAGACGGUGCAGACCUAUAGGAGCUAUCAGCAGAUUUACAGGAGCACUCCAUUAUUCCGGAGGUGCUAGUUGGUUUAUUCUUGUGUGUAUAUAUAUGUAUAUGUAUUUUGGGCACGACGGGGUCUUGUCCCGUCCAUAUGUCUAGUACUCUAGUAGAGGCUCGUAGAUACGUAUGUAUGGGUAGCAUGGUCUCACGAUGUCAUUAUGGUACAUAUAUUAUUUUGAUAGCCGAGGGGCGUAUGUAUAUAAAUGUAAUUAUG